AGUCAGGUAACACAUUGUCUCAUUUAGAUGUGAUGUCUACACAGAGUCAGGUAACACAUUGUCUCAUUUAGAUGUGAUGUCUACACAGAGUCAGGUAACACAUUGUCUCAUUUAGAUGUGAUGUCUACACAGAGUCAGGUAACACAUUGUCUCAUUUAGAUGUGAUGUCUACACAGAGUCAGGUAACACAUUGUCUCAUUUAGAUGUGAUGUCUACACAGAGUCAGGUAACACAUUGUCUCAUUUAGAUGUGAUGUCUACACAGAGUCAGGUAACACAUUGUCUCAUUUAGAUGUGAUGUCUACACAGAGUCAGGUAACACAUUGUCUCAUUUAGAUGUGAUGUCUACACAGAGUCAGGUAACACAUUGUCUCAUUUAGAUGUGAUGUCUACACAGAGUCAGGUAACACAUUGUCUCAUUUAGAUGUGAUGUCUACACAGAGUCAGGUAACACAUUGUCUCAUUUAGAUGUGAUGUCUACACAGAGUCAGGUAACACAUUGUCUCAUUUAGAUGUGAUGUCUACACAGAGUCAGGUAACACAUUGUCUCAUUUAGAUGUGAUGUCUACACAGAGUCAGGUAACACAUUGUCUCAUUUAGAUGUGAUGUCUACACAGAGUCAGGUAACACAUUGUCUCAUUUAGAUGUGAUGUCUACACAGAGUCAGGUAACACAUUGUCUCAUUUAGAUGUGAUGUCUACACAGAGUCAGGUAACACAUUGUCUCAUUUAGAUGUGAUGUCUACACAGAGUCAGGUAACACAUUGUCUCAUUUAGAUGUGAUGUCUACACAGAGUCAGGUAACACAUUGUCUCAUUUAGAUGUGAUGUCUACACAGAGUCAGGUAACACAUUGUCUCAUUUAGAUGUGAUGUCUACACAGAGUCAGGUAACACAUUGUCUCAUUUAGAUGUGAUGUCUACACAGAGUCAGGUAACACAUUGUCUCAUUUAGAUGUGAUGUCUACACAGAGUCAGGUAACACAUUGUCUCAUUUAGAUGUGAUGUCUACACAGAGUCAGGUAACACAUUGUCUCAUUUAGAUGUGAUGUCUACACAGAGUCAGGUAACACAUUGUCUCAUUUAGAUGUGAUGUCUACACAGAGUCAGGUAACACAUUGUCUCAUUUAGAUGUGAUGUCUACACAGAGUCAGGUAACACAUUGUCUCAUUUAGAUGUGAUGUCUACACAGAGUCAGGUAACACAUUGUCUCAUUUAGAUGUGAUGUCUACACAGAGUCAGGUAACACAUUGUCUCAUUUAGAUGUGAUGUCUACACAGAGUCAGGUAACACAUUGUCUCAUUUAGAUGUGAUGUCUACACAGAGUCAGGUAACACAUUGUCUCAUUUAGAUGUGAUGUCUACACAGAGUCAGGUAACACAUUGUCUCAUUUAGAUGUGAUGUCUACACAGAGUCAGGUAACACAUUGUCUCAUUUAGAUGUGAUGUCUACACAGAGUCAGGUAACACAUUGUCUCAUUUAGAUGUGAUGUCUACACAGAGUCAGGUAACACAUUGUCUCAUUUAGAUGUGAUGUCUACACAGAGUCAGGUAACACAUUGUCUCAUUUAGAUGUGAUGUCUACACAGA
Long non-coding RNA from Oncorhynchus keta (chum salmon), 1585 nucleotides. RefSeq lists it as uncharacterized. The record is from RefSeq and is a predicted model, not a curated record. Lineage: Eukaryota; Metazoa; Chordata; Actinopteri; Salmoniformes; Salmonidae. The transcript is spliced from 3 exons.